GAGGCGGUAGCCAAGUGGUUAGGCACUAUUAAAAUAUUUUAAUUACCAGUAAGGUCAAAAUGUAUUUACACCGGGUACUUAGGCAGGUUCGAUUCCUGCCCGCCUCU
This 107-nucleotide transfer RNA is filed under the name Taibaiella sp. Its description in RNAcentral is "tRNA-OTHER". It matches the Rfam family "tRNA". Rfam says of the family: Transfer RNA (tRNA) molecules are approximately 80 nucleotides in length. Lineage: Bacteria; Pseudomonadati; Bacteroidota; Chitinophagia; Chitinophagales; Chitinophagaceae. The record is from RNAcentral.